Molecule: ribosomal RNA, 253 nt
Filed under: uncultured bacterium
Lineage: Bacteria
Description: partial 16S ribosomal RNA
Rfam family: Bacterial small subunit ribosomal RNA
Source: RNAcentral
UACAGAGGUCUCAAGCGUUGUUCGGAUUCAUUGGGCGUAAAGGGUGCGUAGGCGGCGCGGUAAGUCGGGUGUGAAAUCUUGGAGCUUAACUCCGAAACUGCAUUCGAUACUGCCGUGCUUGAGGACUGGAGAGGAGACUGGAAUUUACGGUGUAGCGGUGAAAUGCUUAGAUAUCGUAAGGAAGACCAGUGGCGAAGGCGGGUCUCUGGACAGUUCCUGACGCUGAGGCACGAAGGCCAGGGGAGCAAACGGG